RNAcentral lists this ribosomal RNA (1428 nucleotides) under uncultured bacterium. RNAcentral's name for it is "partial 16S ribosomal RNA". It matches the Rfam family "Bacterial small subunit ribosomal RNA". The record is from RNAcentral.
AGAGUUUGAUCCUGGCUCAGGACGAACGCUGGCGGCGUGCUUAACACAUGCAAGUCGAGCGGUAAGGCCCUUCGGGGUACACGAGCGGCGAACGGGUGAGUAACACGUGGGUGAUCUGCCUCGCACUUCGGGAUAAGCCUGGGAAACUGGGUCUAAUACCGGAUAUGACUUCUGGUCGCAUGGCUGGGGGUGGAAAGAUUUAUCGGUGCGAGAUGGGCCCGCGGCCUAUCAGCUUGUUGGUGGGGUAAUGGCCUACCAAGGCGACGACGGGUAGCCGGCCUGAGAGGGCGACCGGCCACACUGGGACUGAGACACGGCCCAGACCCCUACGGGAGGCAGCAGUGGGGAAUAUUGGACAAUGGGCGCAAGCCUGAUCCAGCCAUGCCGCGUGAGUGAUGAAGGCCUUAGGGUUGUAAAGCUCUUUCGGCGGGGAAGAUAAUGACGGUACCCGCAGAAGAAGCCCCGGCAAACUUCGUGCCAGCAGCCGCGGUAAUACGAAGGGGGCUAGCGUUGUUCGGAAUCACUGGGCGUAAAGGGCGCGUAGGCGGCUUUGUAAGUCGGGGGUGAAAGCCUGUGGCUCAACCACAGAAUUGCCUUCGAUACUGCAUGGCUUGAGACCGGAAGAGGUAAGUGGAACUGCGAGUGUAGAGGUGAAAUUCGUAGAUAUUCGCAAGAACACCAGUGGCGAAGGCGGCUUACUGGUCCGGUUCUGACGCUGAGGCGCGAAAGCGUGGGGAGCAAACAGGAUUAGAUACCCUGGUAGUCCACGCCGUAAACGAUGAAUGCCAGCCGUUGGCGCGCUUGCGCGUCAGUGGCGCCGCUAACGCUUUAAGCAUCCCGCCUGGGGAGUACGGUCGCAGAUUAAACUCAAGGAAUUGACGGGGCCCAAGCGUGGAGCAUAAUUCGAAGCACGCGCAACCUUACCAUUGACAUGUCCAGUGGGGCGGAGACGCCUUUCAGUUCCUGGCUGGACACAGUGCUGCAUGCGUCGUCAGCUCGUGUCGUGAGAUGUGGGUUAAGUCCCCAACGAGCGCACCCUCGCCCUAGGUGCCAGCUUCAGUGGGCCCUCUAGGGGACUGCCGGGGAUUAGCCCCGAGGAAGUGGGGGUGGCGUCCAGUCCUCCAGGGCCCUACAAGGUGGGGUACACACCUGGUACAAAGGGGGGGGCAAAGGGCCCGGAAAGGGCCACCCGGGACCAAUUCCCAAAAACCGUUCAUUCGGAUUCCCCUUUGCCAAUUGGGGGCCAGGAGGGGGAAACCGUUGUAAUUGGGGAACCACCCCCCCCGGUGGAUACGGUCCCCGGCCUUGUACCCCCCCCCCCUCCCCCCCUGGGAAGUGGUUUUUCCCGGCGGCCGUUCCCCCACCCCGAGGGGGCCGGCGGCCCCCGUAGGGUCAAUGACUGGGGUUAAGUCGUAACAAGGUAGCCGU